GGAGCAGCGCCGGGCAGCGUCUGCUGGGGCUGCUGAGAGGGAACAAGAGGCUCUGCUGUUGUUUUCACCCACAUGAAGUCUCCUUUGGAUCCUGACGCUCUCGAUUUUAUCUUCUAUAAGUGGAGAGAGAGGGGAAAAAGCUGAGCUGAUGGCUGGGAGAAGGACACAAAGCGUAAAGCUUCCUGCGAUGUUUUCUGUGCCUAAUGGGCUGGGACAGUGGCUGCUCUCCAGGGAAUUGUGCUGGGAGCUGUGCUCACUUCUCUGUCCCAGGCAAUGCUGGAUCCUUCACAGGAGUUGCUGCAGGCACCACUUUUCUUCUGGCGUGAUAACAGGGCUCAUAACUCCGGCUUCAUAAUUCCCUCAUCACUCAGCCGGGAUCAAGGGAAAGCUCCUAAAGGCCCCUGGGCCACUGCAGGGCACUGGGAAACGGAGUUUAAAUAGGAAUUUAAAUGGAAAUGUUCACCUGAGGAAGGGCUGCUUAACAAGCAGGGCCUCUUCUUUCCUGCCAAGCCCUCUCUGCCUGCAGGAGGGAGGCAGAGGCCAGCCUGGGCUGCCGGGGAGUUGGGAUGGGAUUUCUGCAGGGGUUGUUUCUGAGCACAGCCCCCUUUCCAGCCUGUGAACAGCACAUCCCCCUAUUCCCUGCCUGGCCUUUCCCGGGGCUCCUUGGCCCCUUCCUGGGGCCAUUCCAGAGGCUGGGAAUGGGGGAGUUUCCUGCGGGAGCUCAGAGUGGUGGAGCUGCUUUGGGCAGCCCCCCCAGAAGGAGCAGGACUGACUCUGCUCCAGGCUUGCAGUGACAAUUUCCUUUAGAGCAGAGCUGUGCUUUGGGCACUCUUCAGGGGGACAGAGGGCUGCCAGGAGAGGAUUUUAGAGGAUUUUCCAUUAUCUUGCAGCCAAGCAUUUCCCCUCCCUUCCCUUCCCUGAGCUCGGGGUCUGUUGGCUGCCCCAGCUGCAGUCCAGGCCAGUGUCAGCACACCAGCUCCCCAAAGAUCACUGAGCCAUCCACUCCUUUGGGUGGGAAGGGAAAGCUUUGACUUGUUUGGAUUCUCAUCUUCCCAAGCUAGCUGCUGAGUUUAAAUCCAUAAAGCUGGAAUCUGCCUUUACUGGGUCCAUAACUGGAUUUUUUUAUCCAUCCUCACAAUGGAUAUUUUUCCCAUACUGCCAUGACACUGGGCUUGUGUCUUCUUUUUUUUACUUUACUCCUUUAAGCCUCAUCCCUGCUCCUCUAAUUUAAUAAAUUACUGAAAUUAUUAUUUUUUUUUUUCCCCUGUGCUGGGGCUGGAGUUGCUGAGCAUGAUGAAGUUUUUCUGGGGAGAUGCAGAGCCCAUGUUUUAAUUACUGCCCAGGCCAGGUGAGCUCAUCUGGGGUUUUUCCCAGGGAAACAGCCUUGGCUCUGGCAGUGCUCUGCUCCCACCACUGCUAUGCAGCACCCUCCACCUCAGAUGUUUGCUGAUUUUAUUUUGGGCAAACUCCUUGAAAUCCAAAGAUUUUCCUCCGGUUUGUUUUGCUUUGCUGGGUCAGGAGUUCUUGCUGCAAUCUCUGCUGUUGCGGGGAAAUUUAACUGGGGUUUUUCCCUCCUACUGCGAAAAUCCAGGAAAAGAAAGUGUCUGUGUGGAGGGGAACUUGGAAAGGGAAAGGAAAAGCUGUUGUGUUAUGCAGAAGAAUUUCCUUGCCUCUUUUAACUGCCUCUCGAGAUUAAAAUUCUCUGCCUUUAUUUUUAGCAGCCAGGCUGGUGGCAGGAACAAUUCCUUCCCUUGGCUUUGUCAAUAGGUAAAUACCACAUUUAUUUCAAGCAAAAUCUGGAUGCAGAGGAAAUGCACCAGUCCUGUGAGGAAAGCAUGGAGAGCUGGGAAUGCAGGCACAGCUUUCCUGCACUCAUAAUAUUGCCAUUACCACUGAAUUCCUGCUCCUGGCUUUUAUUUAAUGGUAACUUUGUGUGUGAACAGAUGGGGCUGUGCAAUGUAAAGACAAUCAAUUCUCAUACUAAAAUGACAAAUGAAGAACAGAAAAGCGUGUCAUAUUUUGAGGGAUUUUUAACAUAUUUAUCUGUGUUACAGUGAAAGUUCUAAAGAAAAAUUGCUGAUUAAAGCAGGUUUUAUCACAGGUGAACUCCAAUAGGUAGAGGAAUGUUGCCUUUUAGUUUUGAUUUGUCCUUUUCUAACCCACCAAAUCCCACUUGUGAUUUGUGCCUUUACUGAAAUAGAAAAGGAUUAAGUGACAUGGUGGAGCUUUAGAUGUUGUGCAGCAAAUCACACUGUCACAAACUGGGAGAAAAACUCCCAGGAAUGUGAAUUUACACGGGGUUGGAGAGAGCUCUUUUGGCUUGCAGGGUUUAAAUAUGAUUAUGAAAGGGGGUGGAGAGAGGCAGAAAGCAAGCAGAGAAUCAGAGGAAUGCUGGGAUUUAAAUUUGGGUUAUUUUCUAUUUAAAUCUGCAGGCAGAUUCUCCUGAGGGAAGGAGCCCAGGCAGCUCUGGCUGAGCCCAUAUGGAAAGGCUCCUUUUCCUCCCCACGGGAAUGUGCUCUCCAGCAAUUCCCGAUAUUUCCUGCCAGCACUGAGGGAAUCAGCACAGGUUAAACCAGGCCACGGCUCCUCAGGCAGCUCCUGGAGGAGGAGGAGGAGGAGGAGGAAUGCACUCUGGGGGGACAGGAGGUGACAGUCUGGGAAUGGGGGCAGGCAGAGGUUGGGAUCCACCAGAGCAGCUUGGGCUGGGCACAGAGUGUCCUGCUCAAAUGUGAAAUCUAAACCUCUGCUCUGCUCAAUGCCCAGCAGGCAAACAGGGUUAAUAUUGAAUAUUGGUGCCUUUUCACAGCUGCAGGAGGGAAAGGUGCUGGGAGGAAAUUCCCUGCCGAGGUCACCACAAACAGGAGCCCUGUGUGAGGUGUAAGUGCCUCCAGCAUGAGGAGCAGUAAAAUUCCAAAAUGGAAUUGUGCCUUUGGUGCCACGCUCAGCUGGAGCUGGGCAAGGUGUUCCCACUGAAAGGCUGCUGAACCCAAGCUGAUCCCAAGAUUUCCUAUCCAUUUUCACUCCCCUUUGCCAAGAUAUUUAUUACCUGGGCAGGCCUGACCUUGCUUUGCACUUAGAUCUGAAAUGUACAGGUGAUACCUGGCUGCAGCCAAAUUGUGAGAAAGGGGUUCAGGAUUUCAGUGGUGCCAUAAAACCCUUCAGCAGGUGUGGAGCCUCCACGGGCAGUGAGAUCCAAAUCACCCUCCCAGUCCUCAUUAACCAAACCAUUUCAGCUCCCAGCUCCUUCCUUGGGUUGGUUUUGUGGGGGCUGAGAAGACAGAAUUGGAAAUGAGACCUAAUUCCCCCCGUUUGGUAAAACAAACAAGCAGAUGCCGUGGACGUGAUGCUGUGUGUCACAUCCCGGGUCCCUGCUCCACCUCCUCGGGGCGAGGAGCCUUUGAUGUCCUUCCAGAUUGUUCCUCUCACACAGCUUUGUCUGGGAGGGGAAUUCCUGCCUGACAGCUGCUCGCACUCCCACAUAGCCACGCUGUCAAAAUAUUACAUUCUGCCCUAAAUUAUUUGGUAGCAAUGGGAAAAACACCUGCUUGCUGAGAGCACUUCUUCCUUUUCAUUAUCUGCAGGAAUCUGGGGGGAGAUGGAUUAUUUCCAAUGGUAAUGACAGCCCUGUGCAGGAGCAGGGAAUUUUUGAUUCUUCUUCUUCCACUCCUUGACAUUCAGCGUGGCAGGCCUGGCACACAGGUUCCAUGGAGAGAAACAGGAGACAGGAGCAGCAGCUGGGAAGUCAAGAGGAGGUUUGACAUCAAACAGGAACUCAGAGAGCUGGGAAAGCCCCUGGGAGUGCAAUAAACCCUUCCAGGAGGUGUCUGCAUGGAAGCCCGAGCUCAGGGGGGAAGGACCCAUCCCUGGCAGCUCUCCAGGAGCAUCUGAGUGAAAUUGUUUUCCUGUCCUGAAAAACGCUUCAGAAACUUUCCCUGCCCAAACUGAGCUCCCACAUCCCUUCCUUCCCAUCUCCCCGUGGCUCUGCUUCCUUUGCCACGCUGAAGGCACCAAUUGUUCUUCCUGAGAGGCAGAAGAAGUUCAAGCUGGGUCUCGUGUGACAGCAGCAACAUCAGCUGAGGUUUUGCUUGAAAAGUGCUGCAGGGUUGCUGAGAAGGGACUGAAACUUCUCCAUUCCAGCCCUCUCUGGGAGACAGGAGGGUGCCCAUGGGGCUGGAAUGAGAUGGGAUUGAAGGGCCCUUCCAGCCCAAACCUGUCUGGGAUUUUAGACCCUGCUCCUCCCUUCCAGCCCAAAUCAUUCUGGGAUUUUAGACCCUGCUGCUCCCUUUGAACCCAAACCACUCUGGGAUUUUAGACCCUGCUCUUCCCUUCCAGCCCAAAUCAUUCUGGGAUUUUAGACCCUGCUCCUCCCUUCCAGCCCAAAUCAUUCUGGGAUUUUAGACCCUGCUCCUCCCUUCCAACCCAACCACUCUGGGAUUUUAGACCCUGCUGCUCCUUUCCAGCCCAAAACAUUCUGGCAUUUUAGAUCCGGCUCUUCCCUUCCAACCCAAACUCAUCUGGGAUUUUAGACCCUACUCCUCCCUUUGAACUCAAAUAAUUCUGGGAUUUUAGACCCUGCUGCUCCUUUCCAGCCCAAAUCAUUCUGGGAUUUUAGACCCUGCUCCAGGAGGGGAAGGCAGCCCCAGCCUGGUCCCUGGAGGUGGGGACAGUGCCUUGCUCUGUUCCCUGCAGGACCCAAUGGAUUUUGGGAUUUGGAAUAAACUUGCAGGUGCUGAGUGAUGAGGGGCAGUAACAAAUCUUCUUUUGCAGUAUUUAUAUGAAAUUACUGCGAUCCAAAGAGCAGGGAGCUGAAGCUGGGAGUUGGUUUCACCAACUGAAAGUGGUUUUAUUUUAUCUGUUAUUUUUAAGAAAUCCAUAAAAAAUGAAUGUUUGGUUUUUAUUUUUCAUCUGAUGUUAAAGAUUUAGAGCGGGGAAGGUGUUUCUGUCUGGACCCCACAGCCAGGAGCUGCUGUGCAAACCCCAGAGUUCUCUCUCCUCUGCUGAGGGCGGGGGUGUCGCUCUGCAGGGGGAUAGAAAAGGAAAAUCUCUUGGCAAGAGCAGGCUUUUCCUUAUGUUUUCUGCUUUUCCAAUAUGUUCCCUGAGCGUUUCCAAGUAAAACACUUCCUGACACAUCUUCCAGCAGGAAGGGAGUGUGAUUUCAGUGCGCACGGGGAUCUGGGGGAGACAACAACCCCCAAAACACAGGGAGAGGGGUCCCUCAGGUCAGGAACUCCCAUUGCACAGGAGGGAGCUCCACACCUGCCUGGGCUCCAGGAGGGGCUGGACAAUGCCUCAGGGGCAGGUGGGGUUGCUGGGUGUUGGGCUCCAUCCCUGUGGGUCCCAUUCCCUCAGGAUAUUCCCCAGUUCCACGAAGGCUCCUUGCACCACCUGCACCUCCCUGCUGGGCUGGAUCCGCCUGACUCAGCUGCAGGGAGCAGUUGUGCUGGUGCCUCCACUUCCCUGGUUGUCCUGAACAUAUUGGGAACACUGGGUUACUUCAUUUGUUCUAUUAAUAAGCAUCAUUCUUGCCUAUGCGAGCGAAAAUCGGAAUAAAAGCCAAAGCAAAGCUGCCUUGCUGCUGCUCCCUUGGCUGGGCUCCACAGGGAUCAGCUGUGGGUGCAGCCAAGCCCUGCUCUGUGGCAGCACCCCGGCCUUGGGAAGGGCUGGGAAUUCUCCUCCCUGCACAUUCCGAUGCUCUGGAAUGAGAUUUGGGGUUCAGGACAGUGGCAGGGGCCUGGGGCGGGCUGGCUGGGCCUCGAAGUCCCUUCCACCCCAAACUAUCCUGGAAUUCUGUUAUAAAACCAUAUUUUGGGGGGGAAAAAAAAAGGUUACUAAUUCCCCUGCUGGAAAGAGGAGGAGAGGAGAGCAGAGCAAUCUGCCAAAUGUUUUUUAUAAAUUGUUUUGGCUCUGUUUUCCUGGCCAGCACUGGUUACAGUCCCGAGGCAGGUGCCAGGCCCUGCUGCUGCCAGUGCAGCACGGUGAGGUGGGCAGGGGCUGCAGGCACCAGAGCUGCCCAGAGCAGAGCAAAUGCACGGGGAACUUUGGAAGGGCACCGGGGAGUUUUAUUUUCUGUAGGGGCAGAAGAACAAAGGCCUUGAGCAGUAAAUGCUGGUGAGGGGAGCUCGCAGGGAGGAUGUGCUGCCCUGCCCCACACCUCUGCAUCCCUGAGGAACUCUGCUGAGCAGCACCCUGAAGGGUCCAGUCCCAGCUCAACGCCCAGCAGAAAUAAUAAAAACAGAAACAAACAUGUUGGAGUUCAGCGAGGAGGAAAAACCUAAUUAUACAAAGAGCUUUAACUGAUAAAUGCAACAUCAAGGUAGCAGCAGCUCUGCUUCUACCAGAGCAGAGUCUGGUGUCAGCUCUUCUCUCUGAGCCAAGGCUGCCCUUUAUGUGCUGGGUUUUGCACCAGUUGUGCUUGAAUUGAACAUGGAAAUAAAUCAUUAACUGUCUUUUUGAGCUGCCUGUCCUCCUGAAAAGCAAGAGAGAGCAAAAGGCCGUGCAGGCAGAAGGAGCAAGGCCCGGGUGAGUGAGGGCUGUGCUGAGCAGUAUUGAUCAGCUCAAGGUCACCUGUUCCUGCACAAUGCACUCCUCAGGACCCCAGAUUCAAAACGGCUGCAGAAAAUCAGAUUUUCAGAACCAGCUUGCUGCUGCCCUGUCACACAGAUCCCCAGGACGGGGUUCACGCUGGAAAUAAGGGAUGAACCACCAGGAGAGCACAUCAGGAAUUUCCACAGCAGUGCCACCCUUGGUGCUUCACUGAUGGGAGGUUCCAAAGCCCACCAGCAGCUGAUCCAAGUGAUCCCACAUGGUUCUAUAACAUUUAAACACUGCCACAGACUUUUCCUGAAAGUUCAGUGUAUUCCAAAUGCUCUUCCACUUUUGUUUUCUGCAUCUGUUGCUCAGUUUGCCUUUGGUCAACUUCUGCUCACCUAAACAUCCUUAAACCCACCAGGUAUAAAAUCAAAAUCUGUCUGGUAUUUCUUUGGAGAGAAUAAAAAGUUUUGACAAGACAAAA
Long non-coding RNA from Passer domesticus (house sparrow), 7012 nucleotides. RefSeq lists it as uncharacterized. Lineage: Eukaryota; Metazoa; Chordata; Aves; Passeriformes; Passeridae. The record is from RefSeq and is a predicted model, not a curated record. The transcript has 4 exons.